Leptonychotes weddellii (Weddell seal) is the source of this 1181-nucleotide long non-coding RNA. RefSeq lists it as uncharacterized. The record is from RefSeq and is a predicted model, not a curated record. Lineage: Eukaryota; Metazoa; Chordata; Mammalia; Carnivora; Phocidae.
CCUUCAAAACACACGACCUUCCUCCUCCAGGCAAAAAGCCCAGUUACCUCUGGCCUCUGCAGUUUGGCUCAUCACCAGGGAACUUUUGCCUCCUUUGAGACCAAGACACCACUCCGGUAACAGCUCCAGGGACUGAACCAAGGUGCCUGUGACCUAUAUGGGAAGCUCUGGAAAGCUCACCAAACACUUUCCAGAGCUGGACCAAACACUUCACCAAACAAUUCUGCCAGGGCCACAUCUCCCAGGAAGAUCUUGCCUCCCCACUGAAGCCCCUGGUCUGGCCUCCUGCAGUGCCACGCUCCGUGUAUUUGACAAGCUGAGUUGGACACUCCGUGUGGUAGAGUGUCAGUUUGUCAAAUACCCCAAGUGCGGCACAUGCCUAACAGCUCCAGGCCAGGGCAGUUGGGAUACAACAAAUAAAUUGCCAACUGGAUACAAGAUCACUUGCCAAACAUGAACUAAUCUGUCACAAGUUAUUUCCAGUGACUCUGCGGGAACUGAAGCAUUGUAUCUGAGGUUGCCAGGGGAAAAGUGAGGCAACUCUUGAAGCUACAGCCCUGUACUGUUUCUAUAUUGUCAGAGCCUGAGGGGGGCAUAAUGGUCUUGGAAAGGUAUAUAGGGCCCAGGGAUGGACGUGCUCUUUGAUUCAUAUUUCCUUUCUUCACAUUCCUCUACAGAGUCUCCCAGUAAGGACACUAGAACUUUCACACAAGCUUCAUGACAGGGCUUAGAAACCCACUUUCCUGAUAUUCAGCCUUGACUUCUAAAUGCAUUUUGACCUUAUUUAUUUUUUCCUCUUCCUCAUGUCUUUUUUUCCUUCUGGUUAUACUUUCUCCAUUUUUUUUCUGCCUAUUCAAUUAUUUCUCAUACUUCUGGUCCAGCCAAAAUCUAGUCUCUCCAAAGACUUGUGAAAGUUAGCCUACACUUUUUUUCUUCUUCAUUCGAACACUCCUUGCUUUGGUCCUUAUAUGUACCCCUUUCUUCUCCUAUUGCCUAAUAGCACCUCUUAAACUGUUAGUAAACUUUUCCAGGGGAUAUUUUUGAAUUCCCCAGUAAAUUGUGAGGACAGCACUAUGUUUCCUUGAUUGCUGUCUCCCCUUUCCAUCCCUACCUCAGCAUGCAGCUCAGUACUCUGGUUACAGAAAAUAAUAAAUGUUUACUGAUUGAUUGACUUUGUACUA